Molecule: ribosomal RNA, 667 nt
Filed under: uncultured fungus
Lineage: Eukaryota; Fungi
Description: eukaryotic LSU rRNA
Rfam family: 5.8S ribosomal RNA (bases 235-389)
Source: RNAcentral
AAGGAUCAUUAACGAAUAUAAUUCGAGGGGUUGUCGCUGGCCUCGCUCGCGCGAGGCAUGUGCACGCUUCGCGUUUUUCUGAUAACCAACCUGUGAACCUAAUGUAGGAUGCCUCUCCUCCGGGAGGGGGGACCUACGUCUUCUCAACAUCUUCGUGUAGAAAGUCUUUGAAUGUUUACUAUCAUCGAGUCGCGACUUCUAGGAGACGCGAUUCUUUGAGAUAAAAGUUAUUACAACUUUCAGCAACGGAUCUCUUGGCUCUCGCAUCGAUGAAGAACGCAGCGAAAAGCGAUAUGUAAUGUGAAUUGCAGAUCUACAGUGAAUCAUCGAAUCUUUGAACGCACCUUGCGCUCCUCGGUGUUCCGAGGAGCAUGCCUGUUUGAGUGUCAGUAAAUUCUCAACCCCUCUCGAUCUUCUUCGAAGAGGGCGCUUGGAUAGUGGAGGUUGCCGGAGACUCGGAUUCGUUCCGAGACUCGGGCUCUUCUGAAAUGCAUCGGCUUGCGGUCGACUUUCGACUAUGCGCGACAAGGCUUUCGGCGUGAUAAUGAUCGCCGUUCGCCGAAGCGCAUGACAGAAGGUUCCGCGCCUCUAACGCGUCGACCGCUUACUAUCUCUCCGGAGAGAACGGCGUCUUCCUAAUAGACUUUUGACCUCAAAUCAGGUAGGA